UACGGAGGGUGCAAGCGUUAUCCGGAUUCACUGGGUUUAAAGGGUGCGUAGGUGGGUUUGAAAGUCAGUGGUGAAAUCUCCGGGCUCAACCCGGAAACUGCCAUUGAUACUACAGGUCUUGAAUUUUCUGGAGGAUAGCGGAAUAUGUCAUGUGGCGGUGAAAUGCUUAGAUAUGACAUAGAACACCAAUUGCGAAGGCAGCUGGCUACACAAAUAUUGACACUGAGGCACGAAAGCGUGGGGAUCAAACAGG
Molecule: ribosomal RNA, 253 nt
Filed under: uncultured bacterium
Lineage: Bacteria
Description: partial 16S ribosomal RNA
Rfam family: Bacterial small subunit ribosomal RNA
Source: RNAcentral